GACGAACGCUGGCGGCGUGCCUAACACAUGCAAGUCGAACGGAAAGGCCCUGCUCUUGCGGGGUGCUCGAGUGGCGAACGGGUGAGUAACACGUGAGUAACCUUCCCUUGACUUUGGGAUAACUUCAGGAAACUGGGGCUAAUACCGGAUAGGAGCUCCUGCUGCACGGUGGGCGUUGGAAAGUUUCGGCGGUUGGGGAUAGACUCGCUGGUUAUCAGCUUGUUGGUGGGGUAGUGGCUUACCAAGGCUUUGACGGGUAGCCGGCAUGGGAGGGCGACCGGCCACAAUGGGACUAAGGGAGGGACCAGACUCCAACGGGAGGCAGCAGUGGGGAAUAUUACACAGUGGGCCGGAGCCUGAGGCGACGGCGCCGCGUUCGGGAUGACGGCCUUCGGGUUAUGAACCGCUUUCGCCUGUGACGUGGCGUGAGUGACGGUAAUGGAUAAAGAAGCACCGGCUAACUACGUG
RNAcentral lists this ribosomal RNA (468 nucleotides) under uncultured bacterium. Its description in RNAcentral is "partial 16S ribosomal RNA". It matches the Rfam family "Bacterial small subunit ribosomal RNA", at positions 28 to 507 of the family's 1533-position model. The record is from RNAcentral.